UUGGAGACACACAUUGACUUUGAGAGACUAUUAGAAGAAUUAGGAUCAGAAGCAACCAAUCUUCCUGAUAUAUCACAAGGUAUACAGUCACGUGACACUACUCACUGAUCACGUGAUCACAGGCUAGUCUGAUGGUUUGAGACGAGCGAUAGAUCAUCAAGCAAUGAGUCUGCCUCAGUCUCCAGAGACGUUUGGCUUAAAGAAACAAAUGAUGAUAAGAUGAUUGAUUGGGUAAUUAGUGUGGGCGUGG
Long non-coding RNA from Amphimedon queenslandica, 250 nucleotides. RefSeq lists it as uncharacterized. The transcript has 3 exons. NCBI's taxonomy places the organism in Eukaryota, Metazoa, Porifera, Demospongiae, Haplosclerida, Niphatidae. The record is from RefSeq and is a predicted model, not a curated record.